CUCGAAUCCUUGGAACCUAGGUGUGAGUGCUGUUUCCAUGCAACACACCUAUUCAAGGAUUCAAA
Molecule: non-coding RNA, 65 nt
Organism: Felis catus (domestic cat)
Lineage: Eukaryota; Metazoa; Chordata; Mammalia; Carnivora; Felidae
Source: Rfam